CUUUGCGAUGGCCCGUUCCAGUGAGGCCUUGGCUGCCUGGCAACAGGGUGAUCUGGCCUGGGCGGAGCUGG
RNAcentral lists this transfer RNA (71 nucleotides) under Synechococcus sp. CC9902. RNAcentral's name for it is "tRNA-Gly". Lineage: Bacteria; Bacillati; Cyanobacteriota; Cyanophyceae; Synechococcales; Synechococcaceae. The record is from RNAcentral.